ACACAUGCAGUCGAGCGGUAGCACAGAGAGCUUGCUCUCGGGUGACGAGCGGCGGACGGGUGAGUAAUGUCUGGGAAACUGCCUGAUGGAGGGGGAUAACUACUGGAAACGGUAGCUAAUACCGCAUAACGUCGCAAGACCAAAGAGGGGGACCUUCGGGCCUCUUGCCAUCAGAUGUGCCCAGAUGGGAUUAGCUAGUAGGUGGGGUAACGGCUCACCUAGGCGACGAUCCCUAGCUGGUCUGAGAGGAUGACCAGCCACACUGGAACUGAGACACGGUCCAGACUCCUACGGGAGGCAGCAGUGGGGAAUAUUGCACAAUGGGCGCAAGCCUGAUGCAGCCAUGCCGCGUGUAUGAAGAAGGCCUUCGGGUUGUAAAGUACUUUCAGCGAGGAGGAAGGCAUUGUGGUUAAUAACCACAGUGAUUGACGUUACUCGCAGAAGAAGCACCGGCUAACUCCGUGCCAGCAGCCGCGGUAAUACGGAGGGUGCAAGCGUUAAUCGGAAUUACUGGGCGUAAAGCGCACGCAGGCGGUCUGUCAAGUCGGAUGUGAAAUCCCCGGGCUCAACCUGGGAACUGCAUUCGAAACUGGCAGGCUAGAGUCUUGUAGAGGGGGGUAGAAUUCCAGGUGUAGCGGUGAAAUGCGUAGAGGUCUGGAGGAAUACCGGUGGCGAAGCGGCCCCCUGGACAAGACUGACGCUCAGUGCGAAGCGUGGGAGCAAACAGGAUUAGAUACCCCUGUAGUCCACGCCGUAA
Molecule: ribosomal RNA, 757 nt
Filed under: uncultured bacterium
Lineage: Bacteria
Description: bacterial SSU rRNA
Rfam family: Bacterial small subunit ribosomal RNA
Source: RNAcentral